RNAcentral lists this long non-coding RNA (1265 nucleotides) under Nicotiana benthamiana. RNAcentral describes it as "long non-coding RNA (NBEN_LNC029285)". Lineage: Eukaryota; Viridiplantae; Streptophyta; Magnoliopsida; Solanales; Solanaceae. The record is from RNAcentral.
GCAUGGCCUUUUAAUUGGGCUGAUUGCAAGUCCAGUUUCAAAUAAGGAACCAUUUUUAUUAUGCAAGAGAAUAAAAAAAAGAAUUCAAGGCCGUUUGGGCCUAAUGUCGAGCCCAAAGACAAGAGUAAACUCAAGUAGAAGGAAGCCCAUCCUAAGUUCGACCAGGCUGUCCAACUCAGCCUUUGCCAGGCCCACAUACAACAAAAUCUAUCUUCUUUACAUCACAUGUAUAAUGUCAAAAUCAGCAUUGUAAAUCUGAUGCUUAAAUCAUGCUACUAACAGAGAUUAAACUUCAAGUUGAACCAACAUCAACUCGACUUAUCAAUAUGAAAUUAUAACAACUAGAUGAAUGGGGCACAAACAGUCCCAUAAAUGACUAUUAAACAUAAGUUAUGGGCUGGAAUCACAAAUCCUGCUUGCCUAAUUAAAUAUUUGUUUUAUUAAUAGUCUAUUUUACAUAUUCAAAAUCUCUAAUAAUGUUUAAGUAAUAAAAAUGUUUAACACAACAUGACACCUCUAACCUGAGGUUGAAUAUCUAAAUCAUAAACAUUAGGGAGAAGUGAUUAGGCAUGAUAUGACUAGUAUGCGAGUUUCCGAGGACACGACCCUUGAUAGGAAAGUCUGGAGAUCUAGUAUCAGGGUUGUAGGGUAGGGGCUCCUAGAGUUUUACGUUCUCCUCAUCCGGGGUGGGGUGAGGCUUGGCAGGACUAACCAUAGAUGAUUUGUGUUUUGGAUUGUGUCUCCCUUAUGGUAGUUAUGUCUCCCUUAUGGUAGUUAUUUAUGGUAGUUAUGGUAGUUACUGUCUGUUAUUACUGCACGCUGUUUUAUUUAUGGUCCUUAUGUUUAGAUAAUUAUUUACGCUAUUUCUGUUGGAGUUACUAAUACUCUUUUGUUCUUGUUUUGGUUUGUUUUUGUUUUUCUUUUCUUUCGCUGAGCGAGGGUCGAUUGGAAACAGCCUCUCUGCCCUUUCGGAUAGGAGUAAGGUCCGUCUACAUAUUACUCUCCCCAGACUCCACCUUAUGGGACUAUACUAGGUAGUUGUUGUUGUUGUUUUAGAGUUCAAGACAUACCUGAAAGCAGCAAAGAAAAAAAAAAGCUUCAGCUAAGAAAUAUGUGACAACAGUAGCUACACUAGAUUUAUUCCAUAUUCAACCCAGGACUUCAAUAAAAUCUAAGUGUUUUUGCUAGCCAACUAAAGAGACUCAGCCAACUAAUGAAAUAGUGACUGAGUUUUUUUCUUGGUGUAUUUUUUGCUCUGAAAAUCU